Molecule: ribosomal RNA, 421 nt
Filed under: uncultured bacterium
Lineage: Bacteria
Description: partial 16S ribosomal RNA
Rfam family: Bacterial small subunit ribosomal RNA
Source: RNAcentral
AAUAUUUGACAAUGGGGGCAACCCUGAUCCAGCCAUGCCGCGUGUGUGAAGAAGGUCUUCGGAUCGUAAAGCACUGUAAGUUGGGAGGAAGGGCUCUAGGUUAAUACCCUGGAGUUUUGACGUUACCAACAGAAUAAGCACCGGCUAACUCUGUGCCAGCAGCCGCGGUAAUACAGAGGGUGCAAGCGUUAAUCGGAAUUACUGGGCGUAAAGCGCGCGUGGGUGGUUCAGUAAGAUGGGUGUGAAAUCCCCGGGCUUAACCUGGGGACUGCUUUCAUAACUGCUGGGCUAGAGUACGGUAGAGGGUAGUGGAAUUUCCUGUGUAGCGGUGAAAUGCGUAGAUAUAGGAAGGAACACAAGUGGCGAAGGCGACUACCUGGACUGAUACUGACACUGGGGUGCGAAAGCGUGGGGAGCAAAC